GGAUUGAUGAUGACUGUCAUACAUACAAUCCUUGGAAAGUGGAAAAAAAUGAAUGGAAAAUCAAUACUGUAAUUGUCAUAGAACUGAGGUCC
This is a small nucleolar RNA of Heterocephalus glaber (naked mole-rat), 92 nucleotides long. Its record names the gene SNORD116. It matches the Rfam family "Small nucleolar RNA SNORD116". From Rfam's summary of the family: HBII-85 is a member of the C/D class of snoRNAs, which contain the C (UGAUGA) and D (CUGA) box motifs. HBII-85 is encoded in a tandemly repeated array with another C/D snoRNA, HBII-52, in the Prader-Willi syndrome (PWS) region of chromosome 15. The record is from Ensembl. NCBI's taxonomy places the organism in Eukaryota, Metazoa, Chordata, Mammalia, Rodentia, Bathyergidae.